AAAUAGCUCCUUAAUUGGGAGAUGGAAUGAACGGUAGUACUGACUAUAUUAUGAAGAAUUAUUUGUGAAUUUUUAGUCUCAAUGAAAAUAUUAAGAUGCUAUUUUUAGACAAAAAGACCCUAUGAAGCUUUAUAACUUGCAACACUUCUACAUGUCCCAAGGUUAUUUUUUUGGGGUAAAAGGUAAUAAUGGUAUUACAGCAUUUAAGUGAUAAACAUCCACAGGUGAAUUAAUAGUAAGCUCCUCUAGGGAUAACAGCAUAAUCUUAGCCGAGAGAUCCUAUUGAAGC
Molecule: ribosomal RNA, 289 nt
Filed under: Subeucalanus crassus
Lineage: Eukaryota; Metazoa; Arthropoda; Copepoda; Calanoida; Eucalanidae
Description: partial 16S ribosomal RNA
Source: RNAcentral